AGUGAACGCUGGCGGUAGGCCUAACACAUGCAAGUCGAACGGCAGCACAGUAAGAGCUUGCUCUUACGGGUGGCGAGUGGCGGACGGGUGAGGAAUACAUCGGAAUCUACUCUUUCGUGGGGGAUAACGUAGGGAAACUUACGCUAAUACCGCAUACGACCUACGGGUGAAAGCAGGGGAUCUUCGGACCUUGCGCGAUUGAAUGAGCCGAUGUCGGAUUAGCUAGUUGGGGGGGUAAAGGCCCACCAAGGCGACGAUCCGUAGCUGGUCUGAGAGGAUGAUCAGCCACACUGGAACUGAGACACGGUCCAGACUCCUACGGGAGGCAGCAGUGGGGAAUAUUGGACAAUGGGCGCAAGCCUGAUCCAGCCAUACCGCGUGGGUGAAGAAGGCCUUCGGGUUGUAAAGCCCUUUUGUUGGGAAAGAAAAGCAGCAGGUUAAUACCCCGCUGUUCUGACGGUACCCAAAGAAUAAGCACCGGCUAACUUCGUG
Molecule: ribosomal RNA, 492 nt
Filed under: uncultured bacterium
Lineage: Bacteria
Description: partial 16S ribosomal RNA
Rfam family: Bacterial small subunit ribosomal RNA
Source: RNAcentral